Molecule: ribosomal RNA, 563 nt
Filed under: Enterobacteriaceae bacterium HRTK024
Lineage: Bacteria; Pseudomonadati; Pseudomonadota; Gammaproteobacteria; Enterobacterales; Enterobacteriaceae
Description: bacterial SSU rRNA
Rfam family: Bacterial small subunit ribosomal RNA
Source: RNAcentral
GGCGGGGGGCUUGGUUUUGGACUCGGCGGUCGGGUACACCUGCCGCGCUGUGGAAUCAGGCCUAUGUGGGUGGCGGGACCCCUCCUUUAUCUCACUAUCGGAUGAACCCAGAUGGGAUUAGCUAGUACGCGGGGUAACGGCCCACCUAGGCCACUAUCCCUAGCUGGUCUGAGAGGAUGACCAGCCACACUGGAACUGAGACACGGUCCACACUCCUACGGGAGGCAGCAGUGGGGAAUAUUGCACAAUGGGCGCAAGCCUGAUGCACCCGUGCCGCGUGUAUGAAAAAGGCCUUCGGGUUGUAAAGUACUUUCAGCGGGGAGGAAGGCGAUGUGGUUAAUAACCGCAUUGAUUGACUUUACCCGCAAAAAAAGCACCGGCUAACUCCGUGCCAGCAGCCGCGGUAAUACGGAGGGUGCAAGCGUUAAUCAGAAUUACUGGGCGUAAAGCGCACGCAGGCGGUCUGUUAAGUCAUAUGUGAAAUCCCCGGGCUUAACCUGGGAACUGCAUUUGAAACUGGCACGCUUGACUCUCGUAGAGGGGGGUAGAAUUCCGUGUGUAGC